RNAcentral lists this ribosomal RNA (465 nucleotides) under uncultured bacterium. Its description in RNAcentral is "partial 16S ribosomal RNA". It matches the Rfam family "Bacterial small subunit ribosomal RNA", at positions 28 to 507 of the family's 1533-position model. The record is from RNAcentral.
GACGAACGCUGGCGGCGUGCUUAACACAUGCAAGUCGAACGGAAAGGCCCUGCUUGCAGGGUACUCGAGUGGCGAACGGGUGAGUAACACGUGGGUGAUCUGCCCUGCACUUCGGGAUAAGCCUGGGAAACUGGGUCUAAUACCGGAUAGGAGCCAUUUUUAGUGUGAUGGUUGGAAAGUUUUUUCGGUGUAGGAUGAGCUCGCGGCCUAUCAGCUUGUUGGUGGGGUAAUGGCCUACCAAGGCUGCGACGGGUAGCCGGCCUGAGAGGGUGGACGGCCACAUUGGCACUGAGAUACGGCCAAGGCUCCGACGCGUGGGAGAAGUGGGGAAGAGUGCAAAAUGGGCGCAAGCCUGAUGCAGCGACGCCGCGGGGGGGAUGACGGUCUUCGGGUUGUAAACGCAUUUCGCUAGGGACGAAGCUUUUUGUGACGGUACCUAGAGAAGAAGCACCGGCUAACUACGUG